UUCACAUCGGAUAGUUAUAAGUAAUUGGGACUUUUAUAAAAGAUAAACGGAUUCAUUGUAUAUAAUCCCUUCAAUUAAUCCCUACUUUUCCUCCAACUGUGCAACCCAUUGAUUGGAUAAUGAUACUUUCCCCCCAUAUGGCUCAAGAUAUGCAUCCACCAUCAGCUUGACGUGGAACAAUAGUGAUGAGAUAUUGUGAACACCAUGGUUAUCAACAUUGGAACAAAUUGGUUGGUCCGACCAGUGAGACAUGCAAUUAAUUGAAAACUGGUCAAAACAUUGUUAACUAAUUUUGUUUAACUAAUUUUGACUACCAAAUUGUUUUGACCUAUUAGAUCAGCUAAUAACGUUGGGUAAUUUUCUUUUAUAAUAUAUUUUAUAUUAUAAAAUUAUUGUUACUUUUAUUUUUUGAAUAAUUGGAUUGGUUUAACUCAACUAGUACUUGAUGACAACGGGUAACAAUCAGAAGAUGAAAAAAAAAGUUUGCAAUUGUUGUUUGUAACCACUCUAUGUUAUUUUGGUUGGGGUUUGACGUGUAUGGUUGUGAUAUAAUUCAAUUUGUUAGAUUUUACAUUUAAUGGUUAAAAAUGAUUGAAAUUUCCUUGUAUGGAUAAUAAAUAAUCUCAUAAUAUGCAAUCCCUUGAAAAAAAAAAUGCUUUUAGAAGUUGUAACGUAUGAAAUUAUAAACACAGCCAAUAUCAACAGAAGAUCAGCUCCUGAUAUUAUUAUUAUCCCUAUGUAGCUCAUCGUAACUUUUAUAAAAUGAUUGUGGUAGAAUUUUAAAAAUGUUUUUUAUUAUGUAAAUAAGUUAUUUAAUAAAAAAUUAGAAUUUUUAUUCUCAAUUUUGUACCCAUAUUUUACUAAAUUGUGUAGGAUUAUUGAAUUUUUAUCCUCAUUUUUGUGCCCAUAUUUUAAUAUAUUGUGUAAGAUUAUUGAAUUUUUAAUUGUUUUUAGUAAAUUUUAUAUUUUUUAAAAAUCACGAUCAACACAUUGUAACACUCGCUAUUCUUGACAGGACAUUCUCAACUUCGAAGGCGUAUCAAGCUAUUUAUUUACAGUGUCACUGAGCAACCUCCAAAAGCACAGCAUGGCAUUGAGUAUUGUAAUUGCAGAUGGUAUAUAAAUUGCAACUAUUUUGGGAAGGUGCAUUUCAGGAACCAGAACACUUGCAGGGAUGAUGAUGCAAUAGAAGAAGAAGGUCACAAGAUGUGCCACGAUCUUCCUUACGAAGAAGAAUGCGUAAAUAACAUGGAAUUUUUUCCAUAUUGACACCUUCUGCACUUGCAAACAAAUUUCACAGAGAAAAGCAUUAGCCAUUCGAAUCCAUAAGCCUAACAAAUAUAAGCAAGUAUCCAAUAGUUUGUGAUACAAGGGAAAAUCUACUCUUACUUGAAUAAAUGCCUCUCUUUCUUGAUUUUUACC
Molecule: non-coding RNA, 1422 nt
Organism: Amborella trichopoda
Lineage: Eukaryota; Viridiplantae; Streptophyta; Magnoliopsida; Amborellales; Amborellaceae
Source: RefSeq, a predicted model, not a curated record